RNAcentral lists this long non-coding RNA (533 nucleotides) under Vigna radiata. RNAcentral's name for it is "long non-coding RNA (VRAD_LNC000172)". Lineage: Eukaryota; Viridiplantae; Streptophyta; Magnoliopsida; Fabales; Fabaceae. The record is from RNAcentral.
AGCACCAAAUUCUUCGUCUUCACCUUCAUCAGAAUUAUCCGGAAAAUCCACUGAGGUGGUCGAGUUGCACGUGCAGGUAAGGUUGGAUUUAUGUAUAGCAACGUUAAUCUUUCCAAAGUUUUAGGAUAAUUAGUUGUUUGAUUUUCUUACAGCAUUUGUUUUUAUACUGUUAAUAUGUUUUUGUAAAAGGGUUAUAUUAAAAGUGUUUAUUGAAUGGGAUUGAAAAGAUUGUAAUGAUUUUAGCAUGUUUAAAGAGAAGUGAAUGGUUUUUAUAUGGUAAGAAAUAUAUUAAUGAUCGUGCGUGCAGAUAACUUCUUUUGCAUUGCUUUACAUGAUUGAAGAAGUUUGUCGAACAGGGAUGUGGAAGCCUUCUGCAUGCCCUCAUUGCAGGAAUAUGCAAUCGCAACAGCGUAGAUUGCUUCUAUCUGAGAGUGAAGACAACGACACCUGUAACGCCCCAAUUUAAUUAAAGUAAAAUAUUUCAAAAUCCUCUUAGUACGAAAAAUAGUACCAAUUAAAAAUUUUGACAUUCA